UUUUUUAAGAUUCUACAUAUAAGUGAUAUUAUACAGCAUUUGUCUUUCUCUGUCUGACAUAUUGCACUUGGCAUAAUGCUUCAGGGUCCAUCCAUGUAGUAAAUGGCAAGCUGCCCUUCCAUCUCGUGAGUGAAUGAUAUUCCAUUAUAUAAUAUACACCACAUCUUCCUUAUGUGUUUAUAUGUUGACAUGUGUCUGAUUUCAAGUAGACUAAGCCUGUUGAAAAAAUGUGGAAAACAUGUAACUUCUUCAAAUUUAUUUAAAAUGACUCAAUGCUGUGCUGAGAUGAGACGGAAUUCUGAAACCUACAUUUACACUACGUUUUCUUUCUGUGAACCCAGUAACUUCUGACUGGAGACACACUAAGAACUUAAUUUAUUCAACCUAUUGUUUUGUGUGUCAGUCUCCCAUAGAUACAGGAUGAGAGGAUUUGACCAGCUGGUUUAGCAGAUGGGGACCCGACCACAAGAUGGCAGAGCAUCUCUGCUAAUGUGGAUAUGUGAAAGGGUCCUUUUGGUUGACUCUGUAAGAGUUGGCUAAAGACAGAAGCAGAUGCCUGUGUAGACAGUUUAAGAAACCACUGUGCUUUGGAGGAAAUCAAGAGAUAACCUGGUAACAGAAGCAGCUCUCCUGGCUGGAGACUGCCGGUCCCAAUUGGAAGAAGCAUGAAGACACUCAUUGGACCUUUGUUCCUGUUCUUGUGGCUGCAGCUGGACUGUAUGAGUAGAGGAGAAGAGCCUGGAAAAGGCCUCCAGUUGCUUAUAUAUACUGUUUCAAGUAUGGACAAGAAACAAGAACAAAGGCUCACUGUCCUAUUGAAUAAGAAGGACAAACAUCUCUCCCUGCAAGUCACACGCAC
Molecule: long non-coding RNA, 859 nt
Organism: Felis catus (domestic cat)
Lineage: Eukaryota; Metazoa; Chordata; Mammalia; Carnivora; Felidae
Exons: 3
Source: RefSeq, a predicted model, not a curated record